CGAUAAAUAUUUCAUGGUAUUUAUAAUUCAAACAACUGGUAGCCUUAGACCAGGAUUAACCCUGAUUCUUAAAAAGGAUCUUAAGAUAAAAAGGAAUUUAAAUAAAUGAAAAAUAGUAAUUAGCUUAAGAGUUAGAUCUUAAUUAAGAAUGGGAAGAAUCAGAUAUAGCGGGACACGUGUAAGAGAACCAGCGUUUGAAACACAAGUCUCUCUCUCUCCGGUUGAAACAUGCACAACCCAAUUCAUUCCACCUCUCUCCUCUUCCUCGUUUGAUUUCUCGACGAUUCAACAGAAUCAGUCGAUUGAUCUCCUCGACGAUCCAAGACUCCGGCUCGCUGUCUCUGUGCAUGUGAUUGACGAAGAAUCACUCCGGUUCUCUGUCUCUCUCGAGGAGGAUAAACUCCGACUCUCUCUCUCUCUCGGUGGAUCUCCAGUUGAAGCUCAAAAGCGACGGCGGCUCUCUCUGUGUCUCUCCCGACGAAGAAUCACGCCGUCUCCAUCUCCGCGGCUCUGAUCGAGGGCGGAUCACGCCGUCUCCAUCUAUGCGGCUCUGAUUGAGAAAGAUCACGGCGUCACUAUCUCGGCGGCUCUGAUUGAGGGUGAAUCACGGCAUCUCUGAUUGAGGGUGAAUCACGAUGUCUCUCUCGGCGGCUCUGAUUGACGGUGAAUGACUGAGUCUCUGAUUGAGGCGGCUCUGAUUAAGGGUGAAUCACUCCUCCUCUAAAGCUAAGUUAUUUUGUUUAUAUGUUCAUUCAUCUUCAAUGCAUUCAUGCCUUAGUUGUGAUGGUUUAUGUCUAUUUGAUUGAAUUCUUUCAUUCCGUUUGACAUUGUUUGACAUUGUUUGAGUAAUUCUUUCCUUUUGUUUGACAUUGUUUCAGUGUUUGUGUGUUAAGACGGAGUGAUCAAGAGCGUGGAUCAAGAGACAUGUCUCGGUUCUUCAAUGAAGAGGAGUACAACUUCAAUAAAGUGUCGAACUAUCUUCCUCUCAAGUCCCUUAUUCUGGAACUCAAGCUCACGAAGCUUCAAAUAUCGCCAAUAUGAUGGGUGUUCGAACUAGAAUUCGUGAUAGACAAAUGCAUCAACAACUGAAAGCUGAUUUGGUUGAACAUAUAUGGUGUAAAUUCGGACGUGAUGAAGACAACAACUGAGCUCCGAUGUUUCUUUGAAAUUGUUCUCGUUUAUUGUACUAAUCUAUGUUUAAAUGUUUUUUUUAAUCUAUGUUUUAAAUGUUGUCUUUUAAUAUGUUUUAUUUCAUAAAUUUUUUUUAUCUUUAAUAAAAUUUAAAAAAAAAAUUUAAGAAUCACAAA
Long non-coding RNA from Brassica napus (rape), 1307 nucleotides. RefSeq lists it as uncharacterized. The record is from RefSeq and is a predicted model, not a curated record. The transcript is spliced from 2 exons. Lineage: Eukaryota; Viridiplantae; Streptophyta; Magnoliopsida; Brassicales; Brassicaceae.